GUGCUCUCUUCAGCAGCACAUAUAUGAAAAUUGGAACAAUACAGAGAAAAUUAACAUGGCUCCUACACAAAAAUGUCAUGCAAGUUUGUAAAGCAUUCUAUAUUUUU
Vulpes vulpes (red fox) is the source of this 107-nucleotide small nuclear RNA. Lineage: Eukaryota; Metazoa; Chordata; Mammalia; Carnivora; Canidae. The record is from Ensembl.